CCUACGGGUGGCAGCAGUGAGGAAUAUUGGUCAAUGGGCGCGAGCCUGAACCAGCCAAGUAGCGUGAAGGAUGACUGCCCUACGGGUUGUAAACUUCUUUUAUAAAGGAAUAAAGUGAGGCACGAGUGCCUUUUUGUAUGUACUUUAUGAAUAAGGAUCGGCUAACUGCGUCCCAGCAGCCGCGGUAAUACGGAGGAUCCGAGCGUUAUCCGGAUUUAUUGGGUUUAAGGGGAGCGUAGAUGGGUUGUUAAGUAAGUUGGGAAAGUUUGCGGCUCAACCGUAAAAUUGCAAUUGAUACUGGCAGUCUUGAGUACAGUUGAGGUAGGCGGAAUUCGUAGUGUAGCGGUGAAAUGCUUAGAUAUCACGAAGAACUCCGAUUGCGAAGGCAGCUUUCUAAACUGCCACUGACAUUGAUGCUCGAAAGUGUGGGUAUCAAACAGGAUUAGAUACCCGAGUAGUC
This 460-nucleotide ribosomal RNA is filed under the name uncultured bacterium. RNAcentral's name for it is "partial 16S ribosomal RNA". It matches the Rfam family "Bacterial small subunit ribosomal RNA", at positions 338 to 795 of the family's 1533-position model. The record is from RNAcentral.